RNAcentral lists this unclassified non-coding RNA (1300 nucleotides) under Bombus terrestris (buff-tailed bumblebee). Its description in RNAcentral is "misc RNA ENSBTSG00005034735.1". The record is from RNAcentral. Lineage: Eukaryota; Metazoa; Arthropoda; Insecta; Hymenoptera; Apidae.
UAAUUUAUAAAACGGUUUCAUACCAAUUUGAUAAAUAGCUUCCCCGUGGCCUUCUCUGAGACGCCAUUUCAUUUGUGUUACAAGAUGUUCAAACCGUUGACUAGAUGGAUUUAUUAGCUUUAGUUUAUAUUCAACAUUACCCUGUUCAGGUUCUGGUGGUAGUCUUUCCUCCUGAUCAUCAUCAAUACUUGAAUUUUCACAGUCUGACAUUCGAUUUCCUUCAUUCUCUGAAUCAUUCCAAGUAUCUUUCUGGCUGUGUUUGUUAUUAUCUGGAUCAAACAAUUCCAAGAAUGACUCCAUUGCAUUUUACAAACAGUAGUUUUCCCUUCGCAGGAUGUAUACUCCUGAAAUCGAAAUCGCGUUUGACACCCACGUCAGAGUUGAAUAACACAGCAUGCGAACCUCUCACUUUCCCUCCCGCUUUUUUCAACACCUGACUGUGCACGAUUCAAUCGAGAUCUGACUGUUACCAGCCUCGACGAUUCAUUCUUCUGCGCUUGAAACAAAUUUAGUUUCAAUUCCAAUCGAAAAUUUGUUGGAGAUGACGCUGCGAACGCGUUCAUUGUGGCUCCACCUUUAGGGUGAAGAAUCUAUUAGUUCCAUGGAAACGCAGGGUAACAGUUCGUAACAACCGUUCCAUGGAAUUUGUUUAAACAAAAACAAACCGCGUUAUUCUUCGGUGAUAUCAAAGAAAUAUAUUUUAUUGCCACUGCCAUUAACGAUCAGUAAACCUAACCUCUUUGUCGCUCCAAUCCACCAAAAUUUGGACAUGGAGUACUUCAUCGCGAAAUUGUGUAUUCGCGCAUGAUCAGAUGUAAUAUAAAUCUUUCGGUGUCAGAAAAAUUCCUUCUCUGUGUGUAUGCCUUAAACGAUACGAUAUCUGUGAAAGCGUCGUGAACGUAAACAAUACUAUUUCACACAUUAUUUUUAACGUUCCGUGUUAUUUUCGUUUCGCCUAUCGUCGAGCUCAUUACAGUUAGCAAUGACUGCCGUCGAGGUUUGUUUUCGUGCGACCAGACGGUCUUCUGUGUUCCCAAUAAUACGUCGUUGUCUGUAUGGCUCUAUUUACUUAACGUGUCUGAAUGCUCGUCUCUCGUAAACCUGUCUCAUAGAUUUCGUUAAUACAGAAAUGCGAGGUACAGAUGAUACAUAUCGUGCCGCGAUUAACUUUUAUUUACAUGCAGACUAAGUUGACGAGCAUAAACAUGGCCGUCGCGCUUUGUGAUGAUUACUUGUGCCAGUUUGAAUUCAAGGAAGUCCCUCGAGAAUGGAAAUAAUGGAUGGAACGCAUGCAUCCGAG